AGUGAACGCUGGCGGUAGGCCUAACACAUGCAAGUCGAACGGCAGCACAGUAAGAGCUUGCUCUUACGGGUGGCGAGUGGCGGACGGGUGAGGAAUACAUCGGAAUCUACUUUUUCGUGGGGGAUAACGUAGGGAAACUUACGCUAAUACCGCAUACGACCUACGGGUGAAAGCAGGGGAUCUUCGGACCUUGCGCGAGUGAAUGAGCCGAUGCCGGAUUAGCUAGUUGGCGGGGUAAAGGCCCACCAAGGCGACGAUCCGUAGCUGGUCUGAGAGGAUGAUCAGCCACACUGGAACUGAGACACGGUCCAGACUCCUACGGGAGGCAGCAGUGGGGAAUAUUGGACAAUGGGCGCAAGCCUGAUCCAGCAAUACCGCGUGGGUGAAGAAGGCCUUCGGGUUGUAAAGCCCUUUUGUUGGGAAAGAAAAGCAGCAGGUUAAUACCCCGCUGUUCUGACGGUACCCAAAGAAUAAGCACCGGCUAACUUCGUG
Molecule: ribosomal RNA, 492 nt
Filed under: uncultured bacterium
Lineage: Bacteria
Description: partial 16S ribosomal RNA
Rfam family: Bacterial small subunit ribosomal RNA
Source: RNAcentral